AGCUUAAUAAAUAUUAUAUAUUAUUUUGUAUGUAUUAUUUACGUAUAAUAAUAAUAAUAAAAAAAAAUUAAUUGGGUUGAUAGAGUAAAAAUCAAAAGCCUUAACAUUGCCUGCAGAUCAGUCAACAGUUUCUACUACUAGUACCAAAUACAAUAUUUUAAGAUUACUAUAAAAUCAAAAACAUCAAUAGCAGCUUCAGCAGCAACCUUCCACACAUGAAGCUAUUCAAAAGAUAAUAAAGAAAAUACACUGUUUUGAAAUUAAAACUACUAAUCGGUUACUAACACAUUGGUGACUUGGAUCUAUACACAACACUACUCAUAGUAUACCUACUCAUACCUACCCAUGAUUGAAAUCUUUAGCUUAUACUGUGUGAUCAUAGAUGAAGGAUAUUUAUUGUCAUAAUUAUGUUGCACCAUGAGUGUUGAUAGUGAUUCUAGUAACAAAGAAAUAAAGACAACAUACUACUAUUACAGAAGAAAUAAAAA
Long non-coding RNA from Sipha flava (yellow sugarcane aphid), 488 nucleotides. RefSeq lists it as uncharacterized. The transcript is spliced from 2 exons. NCBI's taxonomy places the organism in Eukaryota, Metazoa, Arthropoda, Insecta, Hemiptera, Aphididae. The record is from RefSeq and is a predicted model, not a curated record.